RNAcentral lists this ribosomal RNA (372 nucleotides) under uncultured organism. Its description in RNAcentral is "bacterial SSU rRNA". It matches the Rfam family "Bacterial small subunit ribosomal RNA", at positions 526 to 896 of the family's 1533-position model. The record is from RNAcentral.
CAGAGGUCCCAAGCGUUGUUCGGAUUCACUGGGCGUAAAGGGUGCGUAGGUGGCGAGGUAAGUCGGAUGUGAAAUCUCCAAGCUUAACUUGGAAAUGGCAUUGGAAACUACCUGGCUUGAGGUUUGGAGGGGGGACUGGAAUACUUGGUGUAGCAGUGAAAUGCGUAGAUAUCAAGUGGAACACCAGUGGCGAAGGCGAGUCCCUGGACAACACCUGACACUGAGGCACGAAAGCUAGGGGAGCAAACAGGAUUAGAUACCCUGGUAGUCCUAGCUGUAAACGGUGCUUGCUUGCUGUAAAAGGAAUCGACCCCUUUUGUGGCGAAGCCAACGCGAUAAGCAAGCCGCCUGGGAAGUACGGUCGCAAGAUUA